CAUAGUGUAGCUUACCACAAAGCAUCUGGCCUACACCCAGAAGAAUCCACAAUACAUGGACACUCUGA
This 68-nucleotide transfer RNA is filed under the name Arvicanthis abyssinicus (Abyssinian grass rat). RNAcentral describes it as "tRNA-Val". Lineage: Eukaryota; Metazoa; Chordata; Mammalia; Rodentia; Muridae. The record is from RNAcentral.